CGGGUCGUAAAGCUCUGUUGCGGGGGAAAAAAAGGGACAGCAUCAGGAAAUGGGUGCUGACUGAUGGUGCCCCGCCAGAAAGUCACGGCUAACUACGUGCC
RNAcentral lists this ribosomal RNA (101 nucleotides) under uncultured bacterium. RNAcentral describes it as "partial 16S ribosomal RNA". The record is from RNAcentral.